RNAcentral lists this ribosomal RNA (465 nucleotides) under Vreelandella stevensii. RNAcentral's name for it is "partial 16S ribosomal RNA". It matches the Rfam family "Bacterial small subunit ribosomal RNA", at positions 338 to 795 of the family's 1533-position model. Lineage: Bacteria; Pseudomonadati; Pseudomonadota; Gammaproteobacteria; Oceanospirillales; Halomonadaceae. The record is from RNAcentral.
CCUACGGGUGGCAGCAGUGGGGAAUAUUGGACAAUGGGCGAAAGCCUGAUCCAGCCAUGCCGCGUGUGUGAAGAAGGCCUUCGGGUUGUAAAGCACUUUCAGUGGGGAAGAAAGCCUUGGGGCUAAUACCCUCGAGGAAGGACAUCACCAACAGAAGAAGCACCGGCUAACUCCGUGCCAGCAGCCGCGGUAAUACGGAGGGUGCGAGCGUUAAUCGGAAUUACUGGGCGUAAAGCGCGCGUAGGCGGUCUGAUAAGCCGGUUGUGAAAGCCCCGGGCUCAACCUGGGAACGGCAUCCGGAACUGUCAGGCUAGAGUGCUGGAGAGGUAGGUAGAAUUCCCGGUGUAGCGGUGAAAUGCGUAGAGAUCGGGAGGAAUACCAGUGGCGAAGGCGGCCUUCUGGACUGACACUGACGCUGAGGUGCGAAAGCGUGGGUAGCAAACAGGAUUAGAUACCCCAGUAGUC